Non-coding RNA from Cinara cedri, 284 nucleotides. The record is from the annotation of a GenBank genome assembly. Lineage: Eukaryota; Metazoa; Arthropoda; Insecta; Hemiptera; Aphididae.
CAUUUACUAUUAAGCGUAAUUCACAACACAAUUAUGACAAGGCGUUGUCUAUUUGCUAGGUAAAUCUUACACCCCCGUAUAAGAUUCUUGGCUUAUGAAUAAUAAGUACGAUAUUAUAUUGUAAAAUGUCAUGGUGGUCAUUCUAAAAAAAGGCCGCUAAGCAGGAAAAAAAAGUUUAUCGUUUGUAAAAUGUUUAUUCAAUUGUAGCGCUGGCCCUGGGUGGGUGGGUAUACUAUAAAAUUUACUGCGUCUGCUCUGAAAAUUAUUCUUUUGUGCGCCACUGA